UCAUCGUGGCCCAGCCUCCCACCCUUGUCUCUAUACACCUGUUGCUUUGGCGGGCCCACCGGGGCCACCUGGUCGCCGGGGGACGUUCGUCCCCGGGCCCGCGCCCGCCGAAGCGCUCUGUGAACCCUGAUGAAGAUGGGCUGUCUGAGUACUAUGAAAAUUGUCAAAACUUUCAACAAUGGAUCUCUUGGUUCCGGCAUCGAUGAAGAACGCAGCGAAAUGCGAUAAGUAAUGUGAAUUGCAAAAUUCCGUGAAUCAUCGAAUCUUUGAACGCACAUUGCGCCCCCUGGCAUUCCGGGGGGCAUGCCUGUCCGAGCGUCAUUUCUGCCCUCAAGCACGGCUUGUGUGUUGGGUGCGGUCCCCCCGGGGGCCUGCCCGAAAGGCAGCGGCGACGUCCGUCUGGUCCUCGAGCGUAUGGGGCUUUGUCACUCGCUCGGGAAGGACUGGCGGGGGUUGGUCACCACCACAAAAUUUUACCACGGUUGACCUCGGAUCAGGUAGGAGUUACCCGCUGAACUUAAGCAUAUCUA
Molecule: ribosomal RNA, 530 nt
Filed under: Talaromyces funiculosus
Lineage: Eukaryota; Fungi; Ascomycota; Eurotiomycetes; Eurotiales; Trichocomaceae
Description: eukaryotic LSU rRNA
Rfam family: 5.8S ribosomal RNA (bases 168-321)
Source: RNAcentral